GAGACCCCGACUCUACCACGCGAGAGAUGGAGGAAAAAAAACACUGACGCUCCGAGCUGCUCGGUAAUUAAAACAAAGACAAAAAAAUACUGAGGUGAAACUCACCACAAUCAAAUCGGUGACCAGUGCUGGGCGUCCCGAGAAGGUAAAUUCAUUCACUGCACGGCAGAUAAGAGUCAAUUUAAACCCAUGAAUAGGGAUCUGAGUGAGCUGACCUAGCACGUCCUCCAGUGCAGGGACUCAGCCCUCACUCCGAGCGCCGGCACCAACCGCCGCUCACGUGGAGCAGCACCGCCGUCUCUCAUUGGUCCGUACUGCCCCUCUCCUUGGAGACCGGGCCUUCACGAGUUCGGAGUGGGGUGCAGCCUUACUCGAGGUGGUUUGGAGAAACUACCAACCGGGAGAGCUUCCGUUAUUCGCUGAGAGCUGGGAAACUUGGCUGCCCACAAUGAAACCUACAAAGUACUUUGUGUCAGAGGCUUCUAGCCUCAUUAAAAUAUUUCAGUUGCCAACUCGCCUCCUGACAUUAAGUAAUCUGCUCACCCUUUGUUUCUCCCAAGCUAAACACAAAAGAAUUGAGAGAAAAACCCAAGCCACACUGAAGGUGAAUGAUGGGUCGAUGUUCCCUGAGGAAGUGUAGGAGGGAAAUUGGAGCUCUUGUUACAUAUUGCUGUUGAAUAUUUGUUAUGAAUCAUUCACCACAUAGCACUGGUGAGAUCAAUCACUCGUUGCACCGUGACCAUAUUAUGUAAUACCAUGAGAGAGAUUUUUAAUGUGAGAGAUUAAUGGACUUAGCUCUUGAAGCAAAGGGAUAUUGUUACUCCUAUUUGUAUUAUUAGUUAAUUUGAGUCAUUUUAUUUUGUUCACGCAACAGUUUCCACGAACAGGGGAAGUUAUGGAACUCCCCAUCAGCUUUGCAUGUGUAAAGGCAUAAAUUAAAUGCAGUUAAGAGGCUUUGAAGAUUUUGUUCUUAAUGUAGUCACCUAGCUAAAGCUAAUAAUCUAAUUUUAAUUUAGUUAAUGUAAUUAAACAACUAUAGAAGAUACCAAAUACAUGUAGAACAAUAGCCAGAAUGAUUCAACCAGGAAAUAAUAUAAUAGUAUUUUUUUCCCAUUGCUGUCUUUAAGUUUAUGAUGAAAUAAGCUUUAAGAAAAACUAUUCACUCCUAUGCCAUUAAUCAAUCACUCUGGUCACCUUAGUAGCUCAAGGUAUCUGAACUGUUGCCCUUUUUCUCCUCACAAAGCUAUCUUCACCCUUCCAGCACAAAGAAUAGUCUGUUUUAAAAGGAUGGUUCUUUUAGGCUAGGACAGAAAGUGAUAUCAACUUGGCUCAAGUUUUCAAAAAGGAUGUGGCAUCAUAGACAUUGAACCAGCUGGUACAUUAAUGCUGCCGUUAUGUUGCUGAGUUAGUAAACUAGAAUCCAUGACUAAAAGAUUGGAGAAUGUGGGCCAAAUUUCAGUCCUGUGGGCAAGUAGGUCAAGUUAGGAAAGCUUGCCCAGAGUUUUGGGGGUGGAAUGCAGUUCGUCUUACCAUUUGAACACAUGAAAAGGCAUGAAAAAUAAUGUGCAGAGAAAUAGCAGUAAUUAAUGAUGCUCAUUUAGAGCGAUAUUGCAGGAAUGAUGGGCCAAAUGACCUUCUCCUCCAGCAUAAUAAUUGUGAGUUCGUGCAAAAGCAACUGGAUGGUGCAAAACCCAAGCUGUGAGGAAAAUUAAGCUGGGACCCCCCUUACCAGUUUAAAAAAAAGUAUUGCUGGCAUUGUGAACAGAGCCAUUACUACAGCUGCAGGAUUGAAUUAUCUUCCGAGAAGCAAUGAUUUUGGUUUGAUUUAGUAAGUGAGGAUUAUAAAUUAUACUCUGCUUGAAUUUAGUUAGUCUCUAAAUAUUUUGAAUGGGAAGAAAAGUAAGAUGGUUUGGUAAUAAGUAAGGCGUAUGGUUUUAUUUCUGUUUUCUGGCUAAGGCUUAGGUUAACAAAGAUGAGAAUGCUUUGAGCUAAAACUGCUUUUACUCAUAGAUGCAAGUAUGUUUCAAAAUAAGUAAGUUUUGCAACAAAGUAUAGAACUGGCCUUUGGGUAUAAUCACCUGUGCAUUUGUGUUUUAUAUUUUUAUGUCUUAUACUUGUUGUUUUGAAGUAUGUUUUGUAGUCUUGUAGCUGUUUUUAUUUUUGCUGAUGUAUUAUUUGGGAUAUUGGAUGAUAGUUAAUUACAAGGAGGUGACAAUACUUGUCUGAUGUAAGAUGUGUGACUUAUAUUCAUUUUAAUUUACUUUAUAGUUUGGAUUUUGAACUAGUGGCAAGUGGGCUUUGAUCUGUCUAUCUCUCAGCGGGGGAUUAAUUAUUAACUUGUCACUAUCUCUGGAGCCAGUUUUUGUUAAAAAGACCAGUCAAUGAGAGAGAAUCUCUGGAAUGAUAUUGGGGAUUUUUUUAUAUCAGCAAUUUUACAUGUGGACAAAGUAAGCAAUGAGGAACAUUAUCUUGCUUUUAGUUAAGAAGAAUGAGUUUUUUUUUACUUAGGGGAAAAAUUUCCAUGGCUUGAAAAGCAUAUGCUUCAGUUUGCAGAUGUCCUGUUUAAAAUUCGAUGAAUGAAAUCAUUUCUCCUGGAGAAAGAUAUGAGAACAGAAAAGUUAGGAAAUAGAUUGUCUCAUUGUUAGAAAUUUAAUUAAAAGCUCCAGACCAGAAGUGUUUUGGUAAUUGAAAGUUGAGAAAAUCUAAGCUUAGUUGGAAGAAGACCCAAGAAAGGGGUUAUCAAAUUCUCAAGACUGGGAAUUGAAAGAAGCAGUUAAAUUAACAUAUAGAUGUGAUAGAGAAACAAAUUCGGGUGUGCUAUAAAGUGAUAGUGUUCGGAUA
Stegostoma tigrinum is the source of this 2841-nucleotide long non-coding RNA. RefSeq lists it as uncharacterized. The transcript has 3 exons. The record is from RefSeq and is a predicted model, not a curated record. NCBI's taxonomy places the organism in Eukaryota, Metazoa, Chordata, Chondrichthyes, Orectolobiformes, Stegostomatidae.